This 880-nucleotide ribosomal RNA is filed under the name Triticum aestivum (bread wheat). Its description in RNAcentral is "partial small subunit ribosomal RNA". Lineage: Eukaryota; Viridiplantae; Streptophyta; Magnoliopsida; Poales; Poaceae. The record is from RNAcentral.
CUCGAUUUUACUGCUGAAAUUACUCCCACUGUGGCUAGUCUAAGCUAAAUCCCCAAACUUAACUCAGACGGAAAUCCCCAAAUCGACCACACCCUAACAUAGCCUCCUCCCCGAGCCGCCGCCGCCGCACCCCACCCUGCGCGGCUGCCGACCGCCCUCCGCCACACUCCAGUGCCAGCUUCCUCCCCGACCACGCGCCGACCACCGUCUGCCACACCUAGUGCCACUCCUCCCGGACCAUGCCGCCGAGCAUCCUCUGCCGCCCCGACCACCAUUCGUCGGACCUCCAGCAACGCCCAAGCAGCCAAGCCUCCUCCACGCGUCCUCCGCCAGGCUCCUCUAGGCUCGAGUUGCUCAAGUGUUUCAGCAGAAGGAUCUGUUCGAGUGAGGAUGUCCACAAGGAUGACGUCUAACUUCCACCAGAUCUGGCAUGGAACGAGGAUCCCCAAGUGACUCGCAGAUGCGAAGGAAAAUUGAGCAAGGGAAGGAUAAGAUUGAUGUUUCCUACCUGCCAUACUCAUCUAUUUCGUCUUUCAGUUGACAUGCCUACUGUACGAAUUACAGUCUUUGUUUCAGAUGUCAAUACAAGAAAGGUAACCUUGUGUUAGAUCUUCAAUCCAAGGGAGAAAUUGGAGCAUCGGGACAUUUAAACUGAACCUAAAUUAAGGAAUCAUGAUACUACUUUAUGGUCUGACUGGUGAAAGAGGUUGAAAAUGUUCCUGUAAGAUUCGUCAAGGCACCUUGCCUUAACCAUAUGCCCUGAGCUCACACAGAACUUACAGGCUUUAUUCUUUGUGUUUGUUACAUCUUGUACUGCUCAAAUGUCUAGAAACUAUAGAUGCUAAAUUAUGAGGGAAGUCUUCAUGUGUAAUCAAUGAAU